Long non-coding RNA from Rhinichthys klamathensis goyatoka, 1210 nucleotides. RefSeq lists it as uncharacterized. The transcript is spliced from 2 exons. NCBI's taxonomy places the organism in Eukaryota, Metazoa, Chordata, Actinopteri, Cypriniformes, Leuciscidae. The record is from RefSeq and is a predicted model, not a curated record.
CAUGUGCAGUUUUAGUAUGCGUGGGUUGUGUAAGUUUCCUGUAAUGAGAUGAGGUUUAGCAGAUCUACACAACAUCAACAUUAAGGGGUUCUUAUUACUUUGGUUGAUUUGUAGAGCCAUUGACAUACAGUAAAUAUGCAAUCAUUUUCAUUAAGACUAGAUUUCUUCUAGAAGUGUGGAAAUAUUUGAGCAUAAACUACUAAGGAUAUAUCAGAGAACUUGAUGCAGGUUAAAUUGCAACAGGUCAGAAAUGCAGGAAGAUCUCAUCGAUAGAAUCUCUCAGUAACGCACCUAUUUUGCUGAUCUGCCAACGUACACUAUCGCUUUCAUCGCCUUAUUUUCAGAUGACCUCGAAACUGAAGCUCUGCGAACAUCGCGGCUGUCAUCAUAAACGCAAAGUGAAAUGCGACCCUGACAGAAGAUCCAUCGGGUAAACAAAGGCAAUUGAAAACACUGUAGAUUGCCUGAAAUGGGUCUUUGUACUCAAAGGCUAAAAACAAGGCCAACAACAGGCCAGAAAGAACACAGGAAAUGCAUUGUUUAAUUUCAAAACGUUAAUAUAUUUUCUAUUUUAUAGUGAACAUAUGCAUCAGAUUUGACACCCUUGUCACCCUUUUUUUUUUGCAGCAACAACAGAGGAGGUUUUGUUUCUCAGAGUUGGGGUGAUGCCUAUAAUGAUGCCUCUCAAAAUAAAUAUUACUUUAUAAAAUAAUAAAACUUCAAAUAAAUAUUUUUACACUAAACAAUGUGUUGAAAUUAGAAAAUAAAGUUUUUCUUAGGGUCACUGUACAAUUUACAAGUAUAGUUGUAGGGAUAAUUCAUGUAAGGUUCCUCUUCUAUAAGGCAAAAUAUCAAAAGAGUGAUUGACAUACAUUCGAAACGAAUGUACAACACUAUACAAGUUUUGUAUAUGCAUCAUAUAUAUGGAUCUGUCAAGGUGCCUCUGGUUUGGCACAAUGUGUUUCACAGUUGAAAUAUUAUAUGUACAAAAAUAAAAUCUCUCAGAAAAAGAGCUCAUUUGCUAAUUUACAUACUUUGCAGAUACUAUUCACAAACAGUUAGUUAGGAGAGUCUGUCACCUUUAUCAGUCAUAUUACUGAAUGUCAAUAAGGCUAACAUUCUGGACUUCAGUUUAAAAUGAAAAGGAAAGGGAAGGUUGUUGAGACAAACGUUAUUCCCCCUUAAAGAGUGAGAGAGAGAGAGAGAGAGA